Long non-coding RNA from Haemorhous mexicanus (house finch), 1723 nucleotides. RefSeq lists it as uncharacterized. The record is from RefSeq and is a predicted model, not a curated record. NCBI's taxonomy places the organism in Eukaryota, Metazoa, Chordata, Aves, Passeriformes, Fringillidae. The transcript has 3 exons.
GUAAGGUCAGUUUUACCGUUUCAUCCCUUGCAAGCUCAGUUCAUCGUUCCUGUUUGUUAACUGCAACUGAGCUGCACAGAAGGCUUUGUGCUGGAGGAUUUCUCUGAGAGAUAGGAUGAAACAGAGCCUAGCCCAAAGAAUUUACAGGAGAGAUGUAUUUCUCAUGCAGCCAUCUCCCCAGCUCAGCAGGUGCUACGUGAAGUGUGUUGGAGACUAGGACAUGGUGGCUGCUGGCAGCAAGGAUGUCAUUUCUGCAGUGUUAAUUGCAUUUCUUGUGUAACUAUAGCAGCCUAUAUUCAGGUACAGGCCCAUUUUUCCUCUGACCUUGGCCUUCACCUCUCUGCAGACACUAUAUCGCUGCCUUGGAUACCUCAUGAAUGCUUUGGAGAAUCUCCCAGAGGAUCUGCAAGUGCAGAGUGCUCACUCUGGUCUUCCCAGUGAGGAAGGGAGCAGGCAAUGCCACACAGCAAUUCACAGAAGCAUCACAAGGAAAAGAAUUUCUCAGCUCAAAGGCUGCCCUAUGAAGCCUGCUCCUGGGGAUAACCCUGGGAUGUGUUCAAGAGGAACCAAGCAGUCUUUAUGGGGUUGCCCUGUUGCCUCCACUUCUGGAUCACUCGGCACUGCUGGUAGGAGCAGUGAUCUAGAGGUCUAGAAGAGGCCAUAAACUAGCAAGACAGAGUUGCUAGAAAGUGGAGGGAAAAUCAGGACUGAGCAGACUUUGCAAAGAUCACUUUGAGCUCUGUGUGUGACUGAGGAUGGAUUCAUGUCUACAAAAUUCAGCUAAAGCAAGAUGACCCAUAGAAAGAAGCAGUGUUGCCUAAUAGAAUUGGCAUUGAUCUCCCCCGAGUGUGAGAAGGCUGCAGUGUGACAGGAUUUAUCCUGGUACAUUUUCUGCCUAGGAGAUACCUGGAGGUUUGCCUGCGGUUGGCUUUUUAUUCGUUUCUCUUGCUGUAAGUGUGCUCAAUGGGGACAAAUCUGCUGUUUUGUAAAAGGUUUUCCGGCUCCCAAGCAGCCCAGUGAGUGAGCAUACAAUGCAAUCAAUGUUACAAGCACUGCUUAUGCUACACUCUGGUGCACUGCCAGGAUCCCACACAGAUCAACCUGACCCAGGCGGAAAAAUCAUUGAGAAAUAAGAGAGAGGGAGAGGGAGCAAGAAGAAAUCCCCAAAUCCCCAGAAACACAAUGUUAAACCCUCCCACCUGAUCUGCAAAGCAAAAGCCAGCCCAGACCAAAUAUAAACCAAGGCUGCACAGCCAAAACAACCAGACUGCAGAAGGUCAGAUAAUCUGAAAUGUGCGUAUCGCAGCAGGGCGGACGUGCCUGCAGCCAGCUCGCGGAGAGGAGGAGGAGGAGGAGGAGGAGGAACGAUGUCUCCCUGCAUGGGCGUAUUUGGGAUCCUCUGAAACUCUGGUGCUCUUGGCAAUCACAGGAGUGACUAGCUGGGAGGGAGCCCAUCAUGUCCACAGCUGUUGGCUGGCAUCUGUGCGCCUGGCAGCUGCCAUCCCAGAUGCAUCACUAGUGCUGUUCCUCCCUGCCCACACUGGGAUGCCACUGCAGUUUGUAGGAUGAGUGACAGGAAUAAUGGAAAGGCAUCUUUGAAGACUCCAGCAGGCCUGUACCUGAGGCAAGAGGACUAAAACAUUAAAGAACUUUAAAGUUGUUUUCUUUUUUCCUCUCACAUAACAUGUCUGAUCCCUUUUAAUCUUACUAAGCUAAUAGUAAA